Molecule: ribosomal RNA, 762 nt
Filed under: Triticum aestivum (bread wheat)
Lineage: Eukaryota; Viridiplantae; Streptophyta; Magnoliopsida; Poales; Poaceae
Description: partial small subunit ribosomal RNA
Source: RNAcentral
AUGGCCAAACAAGUGUACGAGUGCAACUGGGUUCCCUCCCGUGUCACAGAAUCACAGCUGAAUGAUCUAGUCCUGACCGGCGCUUUGGAUAACAAAGAUACGAUUCACUGGAGGGUUCCUGGAGAUGAAUGUCCUCCUACGCCCCAGGAAGGAGAGGUCGUGGUCUUCGCAGAUCACAUGGCCCGGGGCUUCAAACCGCCCGGCUCCAAAUUUUAUCGGGAUGUGUUAGCCAACUUUCAACUCCGUCCACAGGAUAUUGGCCCCAACUCCGUCACCAAUCUAUGUCACUUUCAAGUACUUUCUGAGGCAUACCUUCAAGAGGAGCCUUCAGUCGAGUUAUUUAGAGAUCUCUUUCAUCUAAACCGCCGUACUGAAUUCACUGACAGCCCUAAUACCGAACUUGGCGGUAUGGCCAUUCAGAAAAGGAAAGAAAUCACCUAUCCCCACGUCAAACUCCAUACUCACCCCAAGGAAUGGAACGCAACUUGGUUUUAUUGCAAGGAUACCUCUCCUAACAAUGAAAAUCCCUUGCCUGGCUUUCGUCCGGAACGGCUCAGCAACACUCACCCUUUUCCACAAAGGCUAAGCGCCAAGGAGAGAAUUAAAUACGCUCCUCAACUAUCCAAGCUCCGGGCCUUCAUGGCCAAUGGUUUAACAGGAAUAGACCUUGCACGCUGCUGGAUAUCAUGGAGCAUUUUGCCUCUAAGCCGGCGCCCAAAUUUGAUGUGCGAGUAUACUGAUAGUGUCGAUGACCCACUCUGA